This 427-nucleotide ribosomal RNA is filed under the name Candona sp. 25 IK-2020. Its description in RNAcentral is "partial large subunit ribosomal RNA". It matches the Rfam family "Archaeal large subunit ribosomal RNA", at positions 1947 to 2646 of the family's 2987-position model. Lineage: Eukaryota; Metazoa; Arthropoda; Ostracoda; Podocopida; Candonidae. The record is from RNAcentral.
AGGCCUGCUCAAUGAAAUUUAAAUGGCCGCAGUAUAAUGACUGUGCUAAGGUAGCAUAAUAAUUUGCCUUUUAAUUGGGGGCUGGAAUGAAAGGUUUUAUGGAAAAUAGCUGUUUUAAAAUAAAUAAUUGAAUUUAAGUUUUGCAUAAAAACUUGCAAAUUCUCUUAAGGGACGAGAAGACCCCGUGGAUUUUUAUUUGCUAAGGAAUAAAUUUUAUAAUAUUUUAUUUUUUUAACAAAUUUGGUUGGGAUGACAAUGAAUUUGACUUCACUUGUAGUUUGAUAGUGAUCCUUUUUAAGGAAAAAAGAAUAAAUUACCCCGGGGAUAACAGCGUAAUACUUUUGGACAGGACAAAUGGAUAAAAGUGUUUGCGACCUCGAUGUUGAAUUAAAAUAUCUUUAUUAAGCAUAAAUAAUGAAAGUAAGUC